UACAGAGGGGGCAAGCGUUGUUCGGAAUUACUGGGCGUAAAGCGCGCGUAGGCGGGUUGGCAAGUCCGCUGUGAAAGCCUGAGGCUUAACCUCAGCGGGUCGGUGGAUACUGCCAGUCUUGAAGGCGUUAGGGGGAGAUGGAAUUACCGGUGUAGCGGUGAAAUGCGUAGAUAUCGGUAGGAACACCAGUGGCGAAGGCGGUCUCCUGGGACGUUCUUGACGCUGAGGCGCGAAAGCUGGGGGAGCGAACGGG
This 253-nucleotide ribosomal RNA is filed under the name uncultured bacterium. RNAcentral's name for it is "partial 16S ribosomal RNA". It matches the Rfam family "Bacterial small subunit ribosomal RNA", at positions 524 to 776 of the family's 1533-position model. The record is from RNAcentral.